This 598-nucleotide long non-coding RNA is filed under the name Hordeum vulgare. RNAcentral describes it as "long non-coding RNA (HVUL_LNC010731)". Lineage: Eukaryota; Viridiplantae; Streptophyta; Magnoliopsida; Poales; Poaceae. The record is from RNAcentral.
CGGACUCCACGCUCUGUCUUCAAUGGUAUACCACGACGUGCUGAAGUAGACAACAUGGUGAUGAUCGAUGAUGUCGCCGUCAUCAUCCCAUGGUGGCCUUCUUGCCGUCAACCAUGGCUAGCGGGUACGUGCAUGGCACAUGCAUGUGCACAAGCUAUUUACAUGCAUGCUAACCCGUCUGUGUGCUCGCCUUCUUGUAGCUCCCUCUGUCCGCAGGGUAUGUGUCGACGACCAUGUCGGCAAGAAGUGGGAGGUAGGUGCAGCAUCGGCCUAGGCGUCCAUCAUGAUGAAGCUGGCACGCAGCGAUGGCGGCUCCGAUGAAGUGGGCGGCACCCCGGUGAGCGCCUCGCCGUCGUCCUCCAUGGCACCGGCUUGAUGAAGUGGGCGGAGCCUCGGCGAUCUCGGUGUCGUCGUCCUCCGCGGCGCCGGCUUCUCAACGUCAAUAGUGGGCUGCAUCACGGCGAGCUCCGUGUUGCCGUCUUGGACGUCGCCGGAGGCUCCGUCUCCAGCAGCAACUCAUCUUCGGCGGCUCUGGAGUGAUGUCUUGAUCGUGCGUGUGCAAGCAUGCUACUCCCUCCGUUCCUAAAUACUUCCUCCG